RNAcentral lists this transfer RNA (69 nucleotides) under Semnopithecus vetulus (purple-faced leaf monkey). Its description in RNAcentral is "Trachypithecus vetulus (purple-faced leaf monkey) tRNA-Val". Lineage: Eukaryota; Metazoa; Chordata; Mammalia; Primates; Cercopithecidae. The record is from RNAcentral.
CAAGGCAUAGCUCACGACAAAGCAUCCAGCUUACACCCGGAAGACAUCAACAUCUCUUGAUUGCCUUGA